This 247-nucleotide unclassified non-coding RNA is filed under the name Glomus sp. RNAcentral describes it as "partial contains 5.8S ribosomal RNA and internal transcribed spacer 2". The stretch from base 1 to 65 matches the Rfam family "5.8S ribosomal RNA", at positions 84 to 154 of the family's 154-position model. Lineage: Eukaryota; Fungi; Glomeromycota; Glomeromycetes; Glomerales; Glomeraceae. The record is from RNAcentral.
GUGAAUCAUCGAAUUUUUGAACGCAAAUUGCACUCUCUUCGGAGAGUAUGCCUGUUUGAGGGUCAGCCUAAAAAAAAUCGACAUAGUCGCUGUUUCGCGGUGACAUUCGUCGGUAAUUUGGUCAUCUUAAAUCUUUUGGUCUUCUGUGUCUUAAAAUUUUCUUUUUUGUUCCAUGAAUGUUUCUAAGAUUUAUUUCUUUACAUGUUUAAGGUACCGAUUUUUAUUAGACGUGACCUUCAUUUCGUUU